RNAcentral lists this transfer RNA (79 nucleotides) under Oscillospiraceae bacterium. RNAcentral's name for it is "tRNA-Ser". The record is from RNAcentral. Lineage: Bacteria; Bacillati; Bacillota; Clostridia; Eubacteriales; Oscillospiraceae.
GGAAAUCCAGUGCAAAACGGGUGUGUGAGUCUGACUGACAGUCAGAAGGUCAACGGUUUGAUCCCGUCCGUCUCCACCA